GAUCCCCUGCGGUGUUUGUGAGGAUUUCCAUCCUCCUGAGCCGAUAAUUUUUGAACCUGGGAACCUGGCGCUGAUCGUGGAGUGCGAGCCCGUUAGGGCUUACCUGAAGCGAUUAUCCGGGGUCCACCUUUUGGAAAGGGUUCAAGAGGGCGUCAUCCCACGGCACAGGCGGGGGUUGU
Molecule: non-coding RNA, 179 nt
Filed under: Magnetococcales bacterium
Lineage: Bacteria; Pseudomonadati; Pseudomonadota; Magnetococcia; Magnetococcales
Description: 6S RNA
Rfam family: 6S / SsrS RNA
About the family: E. coli 6S RNA was the first non coding RNA to be sequenced, but its function was unknown until recently. It consists of 184 nucleotides that fold into an extended hairpin structure with a large single-stranded internal bulge.
Source: RNAcentral